ACGAACCGGACAAACGUUAUUCGGAAUUAUUGGGCUUAAAGGGUGCGUAGGCGGCGAUGUAGGUGGGGUGUGAAAUCCCUCGGCUCAACCGAGGAACUGCGCUUCAAACCACAUGGCUAGAGGGAGACAGAGGUAAGCGGAACUGAUGGUGGAGCGGUGAAAUGCGUUGAUAUCAUCAGGAACACCAGUGGCGAAAGCGGCUUACUGGGUCUCUUCUGACGCUGAGGCACGAAAGCUAGGGUAGCGAACGGG
Molecule: ribosomal RNA, 252 nt
Filed under: uncultured bacterium
Lineage: Bacteria
Description: partial 16S ribosomal RNA
Rfam family: Bacterial small subunit ribosomal RNA
Source: RNAcentral